Molecule: ribosomal RNA, 486 nt
Filed under: uncultured bacterium
Lineage: Bacteria
Description: partial 16S ribosomal RNA
Rfam family: Bacterial small subunit ribosomal RNA
Source: RNAcentral
GAUGAACGCUGGCGGCGUGCUUAACACAUGCAAGUCGAACGGAAAGGCCUCAGCUUGCUGGGGUACUCGAGUGGCGAACGGGUGAGUAACACGUGGGUGAUCUGCCCUGCACUUUGGGAUAAGCUUGGGAAACUGGGUCUAAUACCGAAUAUGACCACUUCUUGGAUGGUGUGGUGGAAAGCUUUUGCGGUGUGGGAUGAGCCUGCGGCCUAUCAGCUUGUUGGUGGGGUAAUGGCCUACCAAGGCGGCGACGGGUAUCCGGCCUGAGAGGGGGUACGGACACAUUGGGACUGAGAUACGGCCCAGACUCCUACGGGAGACAGCAGUGGGGAAUAUUGCACAAUGGGCGCAAGCCUGAUGCAGCGACGCCGCGUGGGGGAUGAAGGCCUUCGGGUUGUAAACUCCUUUCGCUAUCGACGAAGCCACUUGUGGUGACGGUAGGUAGAUAAGAAGCACCGGCUAACUACGUGCCAGCCGCCGCCGUAA